RNAcentral lists this ribosomal RNA (508 nucleotides) under uncultured fungus. RNAcentral describes it as "SSU rRNA". It matches the Rfam family "Eukaryotic small subunit ribosomal RNA", at positions 569 to 1078 of the family's 1831-position model. The record is from RNAcentral. Lineage: Eukaryota; Fungi.
AGCAGCCGCGGUAAUUCCAGCUCCAAUAGCGUAUAUUAAAGUUGUUGCAGUUAAAAAGCUCGUAGUUGAAUUUCGGGAUCAGUUUAUCGGUCGUGCCUAUGGUAUGAACUGGUACAAUUGGUUUCUCCCUUCUGACGAAGCAUGAUGUCAUUAAUUUGGUGUCGUGGGGAAUCAGGACUGUUACUUUGAAAAAAUUAGAGUGUUUAAAGCAAGCAUUAGCUUGAAUACAUUAGCACGGAAUAAUGAAAUAGGACGUUUGAUCCUAUUUCGUUGGUUUCUAGGAUCGACGUAAUGAUUAAUAGGGAUAGUUGGGGGCAUUAGUAUUCAAUUGUCAGAGGUGAAAUUCUUGGAUUUAUUGAAGACUAACUACUGCGAAAGCAUUUGCCAAGGAUGUUUUCAUUAAUCAAGAACGAAAGUUAGGGGAUCGAAGACGAUCAGAUACCGUCGUAGUCUUAACCAUAAACUAUGCCGACUAGGGAUCGGAUGAUGUUAAUUUUUUAAUGACUCA